This 71-nucleotide transfer RNA is filed under the name Cordylochernes scorpioides. RNAcentral describes it as "tRNA-Gly". The record is from RNAcentral. Lineage: Eukaryota; Metazoa; Arthropoda; Arachnida; Pseudoscorpiones; Chernetidae.
UGCAUCGGCUAGGAAUCGAACCCGGGCCGCCCGCGUGGCAGGCGAGCAUUCUACCACUGAACCAUCGAUGC